UAGAGAACCAGACUUCCUCGACCUCGGGAAGCGUCGCAGGUCGGUAGAGCGUGCCCAGACCCGCCGACCUGACGAACGAUUCCUCGACUAAGGUCGGGAUGCCCCGAGGGUCGACCGUAGAGUCCCAAACUCCCUCGAUCAUGGGAGGCACCACAGGUCAGCAAAGCGUCCACGGACUCGCCGACCUGACGCAAGAUCCCUCGACCAAGGUUGAGGCGCCCGAGGUCCUACCAUGGGGUCUGAAACUCCCUCGACCUCGCAGAGAGCUACAAUUCAAUAAAGCCUCGCCAAAUC
RNAcentral lists this long non-coding RNA (294 nucleotides) under Phoenix dactylifera (date palm). RNAcentral's name for it is "long non-coding RNA (PDAC_LNC017034)". Lineage: Eukaryota; Viridiplantae; Streptophyta; Magnoliopsida; Arecales; Arecaceae. The record is from RNAcentral.